GAAAUGCGAUAAGUAAUGUGAAUUGCAGAAUUCCGUGAAUCAUCGAAUCUUUGAACGCACAUUGCGCCCUCUGGUAUUCCAUGGGGCAUGCCUGUUCGAGCGUCAUUUGUACCCUCAAGCUCUGCUUGGUGUUGGGUGUUUGUCCCGUCUCCGCGCGUGGACUCGCCCCAAAGUGAUUGGCAGCCGGCGUACUGGUCCCGGAGCGCAGCACAUGUCGCGCAAACGAGUGCCUUGGUACGGCGGCGUCCAUAAGCCCCUCUCUCACGCUCUUGACCUCGGAUCAGGUAGGGAUACCCGCUGAACUUAAGC
Molecule: unclassified non-coding RNA, 309 nt
Filed under: plant metagenome
Description: partial contains 5.8S ribosomal RNA, internal transcribed spacer 2, and large subunit ribosomal RNA
Rfam family: 5.8S ribosomal RNA (bases 1-105)
Source: RNAcentral